Molecule: long non-coding RNA, 657 nt
Organism: Corvus hawaiiensis (hawaiian crow)
Lineage: Eukaryota; Metazoa; Chordata; Aves; Passeriformes; Corvidae
Exons: 3
Source: RefSeq, a predicted model, not a curated record
AUUCUGCUGAUUUUUGAAGCAGUGCUUCCUAACGAGAGCUCCCGUCUGCAGCGAUGGAUCCGCUCAGCCCGGUGCCCUCGCUGUCUCCAGGAGCUGGAGCUUUGAGGAAACCAAGAGCUUCUUUGAGGGAAGACCCCAGGCAGCCACAGGCUUUGGACACUCCAAGGGUUUUGGAGACAGGAGGCUGGGAGCUGAUGUUUGGGAUCUGUCACACAGGUACUGGCGGCUCCCAGCACUGCGGCUCGCUGAUUGUGGCUUUAUAUUCCUCCGACAACACACCUCAAUCUCACAUUGAAGUGAAAGACAAUAGUAUUUUAAAUUGGUUAAUAAAUCUCUAGAUUGAUGCUCCUGGAAGGCCCAGGAACUUCAUCUCUAUUACACGAAUAAAAGUGAUAACAUUUUAACCACUGAAGUGCUAGGAAUUUGGGAAGCUCCUUCCCGAUGCCCUUCAGGGCGACUGCGUGCCCGCAAAGGGAACGCGAGUCAGGGGCGGCCACCACGGCGCUGCCUUUGGGGCCAAAGUGCUGGGUUUGGAGCCAUGAAUCCUGUCGGGGCAGGGCGAGGUGAUCACCCUGCCUUGGCUCCCUCUGCCUUCCUCAAGCCUCUCUUGUGGCCCAUAUAAGGAGUGGAAAAUUCCCUUUUAACACCAAAAUGGAA